Molecule: ribosomal RNA, 119 nt
Filed under: Pteropus alecto (black flying fox)
Lineage: Eukaryota; Metazoa; Chordata; Mammalia; Chiroptera; Pteropodidae
Also listed under: 1 other name
Source: RNAcentral
AUUUACGGCCAUACCACCCUGAACAAGCCCGAUCCUGUCUGAUCUUGGAAGCUAAGCAGGGUCGGGCCUGGUUAGUACUUGGAUGGGAGACCACCUAGGAAGACCAGGUGCUGUAGGUG